Long non-coding RNA from Dreissena polymorpha, 789 nucleotides. RefSeq lists it as uncharacterized. The transcript has 4 exons. Lineage: Eukaryota; Metazoa; Mollusca; Bivalvia; Myida; Dreissenidae. The record is from RefSeq and is a predicted model, not a curated record.
UACCUCCCCUUAUCUAUCGCUACUCCUUGACUAUUGUGUGACGUCAACGGGGGAUAGAAAUUCGCCAGAGAAAAAUAAAAUUUUACUGUGUCGCUGAAGAAAUCAACGUCUUUAGCACAAUAUAUGCGAAUCAUCCCAAAUGCUAUGUUCAGAAACAGUGAAGUACCAUGGCUGAACCAGAUCCUGUAACAGAAAAGAAAGUACAACAGUACACGACUGUGAUUGUCAUAAGCUGUAUGCCAAGGAUGUCCCUGGCGCUGUUUUACCGCAACUUCAACCAGAAAGAUGCAAAGUUACAGAGUUGCGAAUAUGGUUGAAAUGCCGGGGACAAGCUGUGAAAUCGAAUGAGACAAAAGCCGAACUUUGCUUGAGGGUAAAGAAAUUCAGUGACAACCAGGAUAACAUCCUAAUUGUGGAUCCUUAUCCAGACCAGCCAUUUGCAGCUAAGCAGAAGUCGUCCUGUAUGAACUGUAAAGGACAAUCAACAGUGUCAACAGCGGAAGAACAUCUUAAUUUGGAAGAAUGCACAUGGACCCAAAGCACCAGACCGAUCUUCAAAGACUUUUCGUACAUGAACAUUCUGGAAUGGACCAAAAGUUCUGGUAAAGGUUCAAAACUGGGUGUUGAAAAGCCUAUUCAACGAGGCUAUGUGUUUUUUCAUGACGGUUAUGUAUUCGACACAUGGACAUCUGAACGUAACAGUUCAACAAUUGUUAGAUGCAAGUGUUUCCGCUCCAUGAAAAACCGGUAAUCAGAAAUAAAGAGUAUUGAAAUAAUCUAAAUUACAUU